RNAcentral lists this ribosomal RNA (690 nucleotides) under Triticum aestivum (bread wheat). RNAcentral's name for it is "partial small subunit ribosomal RNA". The record is from RNAcentral. Lineage: Eukaryota; Viridiplantae; Streptophyta; Magnoliopsida; Poales; Poaceae.
AUGGACGAAGACAUGAAGCUUUCGCGGAGACGACGAGGUGGCCGCUGCUGCACCCCCAUGCCGUGGACACGAAGAUUCCCGUCCUCUCUGCCAUCGAUAACGACACUUCUCAUCGAUAACGGCACUUCUCGGCAGGCGCAGACCACAUGGCCGUCUUCCUCUCUGGCCCAUCAGAUUCAGACCCUAUCCCUCUUCCUCUGCAUCUCUGUUAAAAUAUGCUCAGGUCAACUAGGAGAUGAUGCAAGCCAAGGCACUCACAGUGAUUUAAGAUGGAAAGGGAAGUGGACUGUGUGCCAGAGAGAAGAUAUCAGUGAUGGUGGACCUGGUGAUGAGGGCAUCAAGACAAAGAGAUUAAUUCACAACUUUGUUCUUGAUAGGUUGUCGCAUUCCUCGCAGAUUUACCACUCCUUCCCUCUCCUGGAAUCACUAAAUGAGAUCUUGGAAGCUAAUAGAGUUGAAGAAUCACAUGAUGCGUCGGCAAGCCGCUUCGUCCCGCCGUCCCUGGGAAGCUCAAGUGCUGGACCUGCCGACGAUCAUCAGGCGGCCGCCGCCGUCCAGGGUCGGGAGAGCUUCUAUUUUCACGAGUGGAACAUGGGAGGGCAGAUGAGUGACAAAUCAAAGAUCCAAGGGGGCGAACGCAAAAACACCACCCACCCGCAUCAGUUGCCCACGAAUGAGAGAGUUGGCUGA